This is a non-coding RNA of Schistosoma mansoni, 45 nucleotides long. NCBI's taxonomy places the organism in Eukaryota, Metazoa, Platyhelminthes, Trematoda, Strigeidida, Schistosomatidae. The record is from Rfam.
CUGCAGCUGACGAGUCCCAAAUAGGACGAAACGCGCGGCCUGAAU